CCUACGGGUGGCUGCAGUCGAGAAUAUUCCCCAAUGGACGAAAGUCUGAGGGAGCGACGCCGCGUGCAGGAAGAAGCCUUUCGGGGUGUAAACUGCUUUUCUUAGGGAACAACCCUGAGUGUACCUAAGGAAUAAGGGGCUGCUAACUUCGUGCCAGCAGCAGCGGUAAUACGAAGGCCCCGAGCGUUAUCCGGAUUUAUUGGGCGUAAAGCGUUAAAAGGCGGCUUUGUAAGUCACUGGUUAAAUCCCAUAGCUCAACUAUGGGGCCGCUGGUGAAACUGCAUGGCUUGAGUUUGGAAGAGGCAAGCGGAACUACCGGUGUAGUGGUAAAAUGCGUUAAUAUCGGUAGGAACACCAAAGGCGAAGGCAGCUUGCUGGUACACAACUGACGCUGAAUAACGAAAGCGUGGGGAGCGAAUGGGAUUAGAUACCCUUGUAGUC
Molecule: ribosomal RNA, 441 nt
Filed under: uncultured bacterium
Lineage: Bacteria
Description: bacterial SSU rRNA
Rfam family: Bacterial small subunit ribosomal RNA
Source: RNAcentral